UAGUAGUGGGGGAUAACUUGCCGAAAGGUAAGCUAAUACCGCAUACGCCCUACGGGGGAAAGCAGGGGACUCUUCGGAGCCUUGCGCUAUUAGAUGAGCCUAGGUCGGAUUAGCUAGUUGGUGAGGUAAUGGCUCACCAAGGCUGCGAUCCGUAACUGGUCUGAGAGGAUGAUCAGUCACACUGGAACUGAGACACGGUCCAGACUCCUACGGGAGGCAGCAGUGGGGAAUAUUGGACAAUGGGGGCAACCCUGAUCCAGCCAUGCCGCGUGUGUGAAGAAGGUCUUCGGAUUGUAAAGCACUUUAAUUUGGGAGGAAGGGYUUACACCUAAUACGUGUGARUUUUGACGUUACCAAAAGAAUAAGCACCGGCUAACUUCGUGCCAGCAGCCGCGGUAAUACGAAGGGUGCGAGCGUUAAUCGGAAUUACUGGGCGUAAAGCGCGCGUAGGUGGUUCGUUAAGUUAGGAGUGAAAGCCCCGGGCUCAACCUGGGAAUUGCUUCUAAAACUGGCGGGCUAGAGUACGGUAGAGGGUGGUGGAAUUUCCUGUGUAGCGGUGAAAUGCGUAGAUAUAGGAAGGAACAUCAGUGGCGAAGGCGACCACCU
Molecule: ribosomal RNA, 606 nt
Filed under: Pseudomonas sp. s_G11-2
Lineage: Bacteria; Pseudomonadati; Pseudomonadota; Gammaproteobacteria; Pseudomonadales; Pseudomonadaceae
Description: bacterial SSU rRNA
Rfam family: Bacterial small subunit ribosomal RNA
Source: RNAcentral